RNAcentral lists this ribosomal RNA (543 nucleotides) under uncultured Thelebolales. RNAcentral describes it as "eukaryotic LSU rRNA". The stretch from base 180 to 333 matches the Rfam family "5.8S ribosomal RNA". Lineage: Eukaryota; Fungi; Ascomycota; Leotiomycetes; Thelebolales. The record is from RNAcentral.
GACUGCGGAGGAUCAUUAAGAGACGUUGCCCUUCGGGGUAUACCUCCCACCCAUUGUUUAUUAUACCUUUGUUGCUUUGGCAGACCCGGCUUCGGCCCACCGGCUCCGGCUGGUCAGUGUCUGCCAGAGGACCUAAAACUCUGUUUGUUAAUAUUGUCUGAGUACUAUAUAAUAGUUAAAACUUUCAACAACGGAUCUCUUGGUUCUGGCAUCGAUGAAGAACGCAGCGAAAUGCGAUAAGUAAUGUGAAUUGCAGAAUUCAGUGAAUCAUCGAAUCUUUGAACGCACAUUGCGCCCUCUGGUAUUCCGGGAGGCAUGCCUGUUCGAGCGUCAUUACAACCCUCAAGCUUUGCUUGGUAUUGGACAUUGCCAGUUUCUGGCAGGUCUUAAAAUCAGUGGCGGAGCCAUUUGGCUUCAAGCGUAGUAAUUCUUCUCGCUUUGGAGAUCCAGGUGGUUACUUGCCAAUAACCCCCAAUUUUUUCAGGUUGACCUCGGAUCAGGUAGGGAUACCCGCUGAACUUAAGCAUAUCAAUAAGCGGAGGA